AAUAAGUUAGUCCCAAAAAAGAUAUAAAAGGUAAACAAAACAUCCAAAGUUGACAAGAUAACAGCGUGAAACCAUCAAAACUUAUAGAUAAGUUUGAGACGUAUCACGUGGUCGGGGCAGCCAGACCCGGCGGGGCUGGACGGCGGCGAUGGGCCAAGGCAGCAACGGUGGGUAGCAGCAAGAGCUCGCGGCCAUGGGAGGAGUUGCAGCUCGGCGGCUUCGGGCGGAUGCAGACGACGAGGUGCUCGGGGACGGGCUGCUGCAAUUGGCUGGGGCGGCGACGACCUGAACGACGAUGGGGUCGGCUCGUCUCGGACGACGUGGCAGCGGUGCAGCACUGCGCGGGGCAGAGCACGCGUGAGGAGGCAAGGCGGGGAACGGGGUGGAGCAGGGAGAUCA
This 399-nucleotide long non-coding RNA is filed under the name Hordeum vulgare. RNAcentral's name for it is "long non-coding RNA (HVUL_LNC009677)". Lineage: Eukaryota; Viridiplantae; Streptophyta; Magnoliopsida; Poales; Poaceae. The record is from RNAcentral.